AAAUAUGGUUCAUGAGCUAUAUUUUUCUUGCUGCCAUGUACUCUCUAAUGAGGUAAAUUACUUCUCCUUAUUCCAGUGGAAAGAUCAAGUUCAAUGUUUAGUACACCAAACAGCCCUAGGGUAUUUAUCGUCUAUUAUGUAUUUUUUCCUUUUGCUCUACAGCUGCAACUUCAUGGAUCUAUGCUGAAGGUACCCAUAGAUCCUGGGGUUCCCAGAGCAACAAUGCAUAAACUAGAAAGAAUCAGCUGGAAGGGAUGGAAUGUACCUUGGUUGUCUGAUCCCUUGUUUUAUUGCUAUUCCCGGUGGUGUUGGUCCACACAGGUGUGACUUCUCUUAUUGCCCAUAUCAGAACUGGAAAGAGGUAAGCUGCCCUGGAAGCCUAAACACCAUGCUACCAGCAGAAGGUAAGGAAGCGGAGUGUCUGUUCAGCAGGUCUGAAGGUGAUUCUAAGCUCUGUGAAGGCAGAGCUUGCUGUACCCACAGUGCCUAGCACCGUUCCACGGGCACCCAAUAAGUGCUGUUGAGUUUCUAAAGGUGGUUUAUUGUUUCAUGGCCAAACUUGUCUCCCUUCUUCAAGGGUCUUGGCUGAGUCUCUACAUAGAAGCUCUAGUGAUCUCUGCAUUACAGCAUUCAGAGUUUUUGCCUGGACAACCAGAGAUGGUGAAGCUCUGCAGGCCUGGCUGGGUUUUGGAGUCAGGACUGGCUUUGGGAGCACAGGGAAGCCUGCAGACAGCAUCAGAGAAGCCAGAGACUAGACCCAAGCUGAUUUGAACAUCAGUCUGAAGGGCUGGGACAGAGGCAAACUCAGGUUUGAAGCACAGAGAUGGAACAAGUAGACUUAGAAGAUAGGGCAGGUGGUCACCUUGGAUAGACUCCAAAGGGCUUGACUGAGACAGGGCUUUUGUGAGGCAAAUGCAUCCUCAUUCAGGAUGCUGAGCCUCUGAGAACAGAGUAGCUUUGGGUAGCAGCUUUUUCUACACACACCUUGAUGCAGAGCCCCAUGUUCCCUACCCCGCCCCCUUUAAGAGCUUGCUUUGUUUCCUGCCUCAGGAAGAGGAACUCUGGAAGUCCUCCUAGAACCCAGAUAAAACUCAGGCUUUCAUCUUCCCAGCAGGGAAGCCAGUUCUAGAAUUAGCUGUGGCUUUGGCAGAGACCAUCAGUACUAUUGCCUCAAUCAUCCAGCUCCCCACGACUUCCCGCAGGCCUGGGAUUGAAGCCAAGACCCAUAGGCCCAGCCCUCUAGAAAGCAGGUUUGUCAUCAUUACCGGCCCUAGGAAUUCACAAGCAGAUCCUCCCAGCUUUUCCUCUUGGUGACUUCUGAGGGCAUCACAGAUGAAGCCUUCGUGCCAGAUGGUCUCACGUUAGGCCCUGUGAAAGGAGCACUCACAGAGCCGUUGCACCUUUAAAGAAUUGCCCAUUUUCGAUACCUGGCAUAUCACUUGAAUAGAAGAAGUUUAACAGAAUUAACAGUCUGUGUCUGGAUGCAAGAUGGUUUUAACCUACAAUAUAUUUAGGGUGCUGCCCGUGCACCCCAGGGCUCCUUGAGGCAAUUAAAACUGUGCCCUUGGCAAUGUGGCUGACUUCAGUGGCUCUUUUGCCAGAGUUACAGCAGUUUCUCAUCAUGUCUGGAAGAGAUUAGAUUUGUGCGGUGUGGAGAGAGGAUGCUUCUGACAUAUGAUAGGUCAUGUUGGUGGAAUUGUGGCAGGACCCAGAGUGCUCCCAGAAACUUCAUUUUCUUCCAAACAAAUGUAAAUGGGGUUCAAUUUACUGGUUAAAUUCAGCAACUAGAAGAAAUUACAUAAACUGUGAAGCCACAAGGAGCAAUUUUACUAAAAGUUAUCUUGGCCUACAUGGAGAAAUUUAGGCCAUGGAAGACUCAGGACCAUUUUAAGCUUUAUGUAGACUCUUUUGGAGGCAUCAUCACUUAGAUCAAACGAAUUAAAAUGCACCCACAUCUUGAAUUAAAUGUAAAAUUUUCCAUAAAAAUGUUGAAGGGAUUUUUAUAUUUUUGCCUUUGAAGUUAUUUGCCUAUACAUGAUUAUUCAAUUUACAAUUGUCUGUGUCUACUCUCCUGAGUAGGCAUAAAUCAAUCAGUGUGCCUACUCAGGAAUUCUUGCAAAACAAGAGAAUCUAAUCUACAAGUGUUCUCACCUGUAAUAAAUUUAUAAAUGAAUAAUAAAUUUAACAAUGACAUUGACAUAGUGUUACAUUUUUCAGGUAGUUAAUUAAAUGGCUAUUAAUUUCAAUUUUGUUAUCUGUAUCUUGGAACCUUUUUUUUUUUUUUCCAUAGGCCCCUGAAAAGCAAUGGACCCUAGCCACUGAGUUUCGUGUGCCUCACAGAUAAAAUAGGUCUCAGGGAAUUUGACUCUUAUGUUUAGCUCAGGAAUAAAAGAUUUAAAGGGUACAGGAUUACUGUUUUCAAAAAGUAGAAGGUCUGUAUGUGAAAGAGGGAUAAGACAAUUCUAUGGCACUCCAUGGGACUGGAGCAGGUGGCUCUCCAGGGCAACAUAACAAAGAGGCUGUCACAGGAGGUGUGUGACCUGGAAGCAUCCCCUGCCAGUGUUUUAUUGAGGCUGGGAGGUUGCAGAGGGCCAAGGAGUAGAGUCAGAAGAUCAGAGUUGAAGUCCUCGUGCUGAUUAUUACUUGUGUGACUUUGAGUAAGUCACUGAAUCUCUUUGUAUUUCCCUUUCCUUAUCUACAAAAUGCAGAUGUGUCCCCAGCUUGACUUAUCACAUAGGGUUGCUAAAGAUCAAAGUGGGAUCAUUUCAAACUGUUAGUCAAGUUAAUAGUUUCUAUACAAACAUUCAGCCCUGUUCAAGUGUUAUAUUGGAGUUAAUUGGAGUGAUAGCUCCAAUUCUAAGGAUACUAAUGGAGCAACUGGUAGUUAUAGGAUGGAAGGAAAUCUUCAAAAUGAGUCAUUUAAAAUUCAUUAGUUCUACUGACAAUAAUCUUCCAGAGCGUAAGUGACUCCUAAUAAACGUAUAAGGAACAAGUAAAAUGUAUUGGAGAGCCCAGUGCUGUCUAUAUUUACUAAGUCAAGGCUCUAUAAAGACCACCUAAUAUUAUGGCCUUUGAGGUGCAGAAAUGAAAGACUAGAAUCAACAGGGUUAGAGCUGAAAGGAAUGUUGGACAGAGUCCCAACUCUUAUUUUAAACACAGGAAAAGAACAUGUAAAGUAGUUGAGUGACUCACAAAAUGAUUUCUAUUUAUUUAUAUUCUGCCUUGUUUCAUAAAGUAAUUCAAGUGGAUUACAAGAAUAGAUACAAUGAAAUAGGAAAAUCUAAAAAAAAAAACAAAGCUGUGAUUAUGGAAAAUCAAGUAUAAUGGCUGAGUGAAAGGGGCAAGUGGAAUUGCAGUCAUAACAUGUAGGCUAUAAGAACUUCUAAAGGGUUACUAAACAUGAACAAUAAAUUUGACUGUGAGGUUCCUGGUAGCCAAAGCAAAACUGCAAACCAAGUUAGUGACAGAACCAGCAUCAAAAUUAAGCGUCAGUCCAUUUUGCUUUUUGCUCCAUUAAAACAUUUGUUUUAAUUGAGUCUACUUUUAUGGUCUUAAAAUAUUUUUGGGUGUAAUGUUCUUUUUCUUUCUCUCCAUUUAUUCCGUCUGUGGAAAUGGCCUGUGUGAGGGGACUCAGAGCUACUCCCUGUACCCAGCUCCCUGGGGAACGUCUACUUUCUGCGAGAAAAAUGAGGCACAAAAAGCUGGAGUGCUUUGCCCUAGGUUACAAGAAGAGUAAUUGAGUGAGCUGGGAUUUGAACCCAGUUCUGUCUAGCUCCAAAGUCCAUUUUUUUUUUUUUUUUUUUUUUGCACGAUCUCUCCACUCAGCAUUGCCUCUUGGUGAGUUGGUGACAGAGGUUGGAUUGAAUUCAGUUCUCUGGUCUCUGAGUCUACUGCUCUUCCCACUAUACUUUAGCUCUGAUCAGAGAAGACCAUCUCAGGCCACAAUUCCUCUUGGGCUGGAGAGGAGUGCAGGUCCAGUCUUGGAUUUGGAAAGGUUCACACUGAACUUGACCAUUACUGUCUGUCCUGCUUUUUGGGGAUUUUUUUUUUUUGCUUGGCCAUUGGCAUCUGGAUCUGUAGAUAUUUCUAGAUUUCAAAUGGAUUCUUUGGUCGACCUUCAACACGUAGGUUAAAUCCAUGGUUCUCAGCCAUGCUAUUAAGAUGCACUGGUGUGGGGCAAUGAGUUGUGAGGUGCCAGUAAUUAAUAAUAGUUAAAGUAAUCUGGAUUGGUGCACCUGGGAAUUUCAGAAUUGACAGCUGGGACUUCUUUGCCUCUACCAGAGCCUCAGUGAAGGGAAUGGGGCAUGCAGUGCAUUCUAUUUGUAGCUAAAUGGCCUCAAUCUUAUCUCUGCCCCAAGCAGUAAACUCCAGUGAGAAUUUCCUGCCACACUAUGUGUAGACCUCUGUACUUUUUAAUCUUAUUUUACAAAAGGCGGAGUAUCUGAUGUCAAAGACCUUAAUGACUAAUAGGGAAGAGGGGUGCAGCCUAUGCUAAAAGAACAAAAUACCCAGACACACAACCAUAUCAGUGACUACCAACGAAGCUGGUAACUUGAAACUUUGUGGACGCUUAUGUCAUACAGAUAAGGAUAAUCACUCAUGGUCCAGUCCAGCACAGAGUCCCAUUUAAUACAUAAUAGACCAGUAAAUAAUAAUUAUAAGCAGAUCAAAGCAUUCUUGCUGUCUCUCCUAAAAAAUAAAAAACAUUAUUCUAGAAACUAUUAUUAGAAAGGCCCAAUUACCCCCCAAAACUUAUAUAGGAUGCAGUAGUCCCCUUUCAUCUGUGGGGGAUACUUUCCAAGACCCCACACCAAGGAUAGUACCGAGCCCUCCGUACACUGUUUUUUUUCCUAUACAUCUAAUGUCAAAGACCUUAAUGACUAAUGGAGGGAGGAGCGCAUUGUAUGCUAAAAGAACAAAACAUACAGACGAAAUGCCAUGGCAGAACUUCUUAACGUUCUAACGCAUACCUCUGAUAAAGUUUAAUGUAUAAAUUAGGCACAGUAAGUGAUUAACAACAAUAAUAAUAACGUAGAACAAUUAUAACAAUAUACCAGCAUCACUAUUCUUUUGCUUUGGGCCCAUUGUUAAGUAAAAUAAGGGUUCCUUGAACACCAGCACUGCGAUACCAUGACAGUUGAUCUGAUAAUGGAUCUGGCUGCUAACUGACUAAUGGGAGCGUCUACAGUGUGCAGACGCUGGACAAAGGGAGGAUUCACAUCCCGGGCGGGACUGAGUGGGAUGGACGAGAUUUCAUCACGCUAUUCAGAAUGGUGUGCAAUUGAAAACUUAUGAAUUGUUUAUUUCUGAAAAUUUUCAUUUAGUAUUUUCAGACCAGGAUUGACCAUGGGCAACUGAAAUCUUGGAAAGCAAAACUGCAGAUAAGGGGGGGCUACCGUAUUCUGAAACAAAAAGCCCAUGGUUUGGCAUUUUCUCCCUGGGAUUGAUAAUAGAGCUCAUUGACUGUGGGGGUGGAGUGAAUGUGUGUAUGUGUGUGAGGAAGACAUAGUUCCUUGCAGAUUUUAAUGAAAGAAUGGAGAGGAGUUCCCAAGAUUAAUAAAGAAUGGUUCCAGACUGGGCAUAACUCAGGCCUGUAAUUCCAGCACUUUGGAAGGCUCAAGUGGGAGGAUCACUCGAGGAGCUUGAGACUAGCCUGGUCAACAUAAUGAGACCCCAUCUUUACAAAAAAAAUUUAAAUCAAAAAAUGGAAGAAUGAUUUCAGGAUGGGUGUAAUGGCUCAGGCCUGUAACCCCAGCAUUUUGGGAGGCCGAGGUGGGAUGAUUGCUUGAGUUCAGGAGUUUGAGACCAGCCUGGGCAACAUAGCAAGACUCUGUCUUUACAAAAAUUAAGAAUUUAGCCAGGUGUGGUGUCAUGUGCCUGUAGUCCCAGCUACUUGGGAGGCUGAGGUGGGAGGAUGGCUUGAGCCCAGGAGGUUGAGGCUGCAGUGAGCUAUGAUCACACCACUGUACUAAAGCCUGGGUGACAGAGCAAGAUCCUGUUUAAAAAAAAAAAAAAAAAAGAAUGAUUCCAGAGAGGCAGGAGCAGAGAAGAGAGGAAGCACAGCAAUAGUUUUUAAAGGGCUAAAACCCAAAAUAUUUGUCUUUAUGUUGAAGCUGAAAUGUACAAUGUAUCAAAAUUAAGGAUUUUGAUAAACCUGAAAUAGUUGGGUUAUGUUUUAAAAAUUGUACUGAAUUAUCAAAUUCCUGUCUUUUCAUUUAUACAACUUGCUAAUUGAGGUCCUUAUUAAACCAAUUGCAAUUGUCUUUACUAA
Molecule: long non-coding RNA, 6271 nt
Organism: Pan troglodytes (chimpanzee)
Lineage: Eukaryota; Metazoa; Chordata; Mammalia; Primates; Hominidae
Exons: 2
Source: RefSeq, a predicted model, not a curated record